This 1509-nucleotide long non-coding RNA is filed under the name Cavia porcellus (domestic guinea pig). Its description in RNAcentral is "lncRNA (ENSCPOG00000030605.1)". Lineage: Eukaryota; Metazoa; Chordata; Mammalia; Rodentia; Caviidae. The record is from RNAcentral.
AGCAUUAAGAAGGCUGCUUACUCUCUUUCAAGUAAGAAGGGUGGAAGAAUAUUCUUCUUACUUCUUAAAGAUAUACAAUGCCUCUAUUUUUCUAUCCCAAUCUUCCCCAAAGGCAAAAAAGGAAUUUCUUUGUACUUUGCUAAAGACAUAAUGCAGCAAAACUCCUUUUUAAUUCUCAGGUCAUCAAGAACGCAGUGGAUGUGGAUGUGUUCAGAUCACAUACACUUGUUAAUUUCAUUUCUAUGGAGUUCAGAGGACAGGCAAAUGGGCUGCCCCCGCAAAGGAUCAAGGGAACAAGAUCUUGCAGAGAAGCAGAAACUGAGUCUGACCCGAUGGUCUGAGGAGGAGCUUUCCCAGGGCAGAAGUGGAAGCAAAACAAGUAGUUUUAUUUGGUGAACAGGAAAGACCAAUGGAAGUUUCCCAGAAAUAAGGUACCGAAUUUUAUCAAAAACUUAAAAGAAUAGCAAUAUAAUAGAUGAAACCAAAAAUAGGAACUUGAAAAUAUAGAGUGCUUGGAAAUUAUUUUUGAAACCAUAUGUAUAAUUUCCAUUAUUAGGUUCGCCAUUGCUUAAUUUAAAGGAGAGAUUUCCCCAGCAAGUUCCCCAGGUCUGUUGCUGCUGGGGGUGGAGAUCUGUCUUCAGGCACCUGGACAUCUUCCACUCCCAGCAAGGUCAGGUGGUUCCACAGAUGAAACGGAUCUACACGAAGUGUUCUCUCUGCCGGAAAAGUCUACUGCCUGCCUAUGUUGACUUGACUUAUUUAUUCAUUUUGGUGUAAUACGGAAGCUCUCUCUCUAGUUUUCCAAGGUAGUGGCAAAAAUUGCAAAGAUAAUUUUAGUUUUCAUCUUGAUGAGUUAAGGGAAAACUAUGGCAAAACAAAUGUGCUUAAAAACCCAAACCUGAGUCAAAUAAAUAAAUAAAUAUGAUGACAAACUGAAAUUAUGAAUGGUCCCUUGUUGGCUUUCUUGUGAAAGUCUCUAGGUCUCAAACUUGUCAUUGCAAAGGAUAGAAGGCCACUUAUGUCCUCUUCUUUUAUUGUGAUACCUUUUUAUAUGUAUUUUCUCCAUUCCUAUUUUUCCCUUCUACUCUUUUUUUUGGCUUAUUAUAUAUAAUUACAAUAAAUGAGGAUAAAUAUUUUGGGAUCUGAAUUUCAAAGAACUAUGUUUUGUCUUCACAAUGAAACAAAGUAACACAAAACCAGAGCCGUCCAAAUUUCUUUAUAAAAUCAGACAAGAAGAAAAAUGAGGGAUUAAGAUAUAAACAUAGUCAAUGAAAUUUUGGUGUAGAGAGUCGUAAGUUAUUGAGUACAUUUUCUAGAAAUAAAAUGCAGAACUCUUAAAGUGGGUGUUGGAAUUAUUCAGGAUAAUUAUUAUCUUGAACUCAAAUUUAAUUUUUUUCUUUCCCCUUCUCUUUUUUGUACCCAAAUGUGAGAAUGAAAUUUUAGGCAAGGAACGGAAAGAGUAAACUACAUGAAAAAUUUGAAUAAUGAGUUAAGUAUAAAAUAAUAAAG